RNAcentral lists this long non-coding RNA (363 nucleotides) under Sus scrofa (pig). RNAcentral's name for it is "lncRNA (ENSSSCG00060035033.1)". Lineage: Eukaryota; Metazoa; Chordata; Mammalia; Artiodactyla; Suidae. The record is from RNAcentral.
GUGGAGCGCAGGGAGGGCGCGCAGCAAGGGCGGCCGCCGUUACGGCGCGGGCGUGGUCACGUGGCCGUCGGUCACCGCUGCCACCGCCCCCUCCCGCCCUGUUCUCUUUCUGGUCGGGUCGGGCCCGGCCGGCACCACGAGCGCCCUGCAGAGACUGAGGGAGAGAGAAAGAGGAGGGGAGGAGGAGGAGGAGGAUUCAGGGAGUAGGAGCUGGGGAGCCCUCCCGCGCCACAGAAAAUUAAAUUUCCAGAGACUUGGUGAAGAUAGGAAAACUAUCAGAAAGACUAUAGCACUAUUGUACUGUGAAAAAUCAGAAAAUUGCCUUCUUUUUUUCCUCUGCUAUUUUUGGUAGUCACUUUUGGU